CCGUCGCCACCACGAUGCCGCCGGGAAACCACCUCAUCACCAGCGUCCUCCUCCUCAUUCUCCUCUCUUUUCAUCCUCCCGCCACCGUUACCGCCGCCGUUACCGCCUCCGACACUCCAAAAUUCCGUGAAGCUCCAGCAUUUCGUAACGGCAAAAAUUGCUCUUCAACUAUUCACAUAGCAAUGACUUUAGAUUACUCCUCCCCUUACCUCCGCGGCUCAAUCGCCGGCGUACUUUCCGUCCUACAACAUGCCACGUGUCCUGAAAACACAUUCUUCCAUUUCCUCGCCGUUCACCGACACUUUAACAACCUUAACAAAACAAUUACCUCAACUUUCCCGUACCUUAAUUUCA
Molecule: long non-coding RNA, 354 nt
Filed under: Nicotiana tabacum (common tobacco)
Lineage: Eukaryota; Viridiplantae; Streptophyta; Magnoliopsida; Solanales; Solanaceae
Description: long non-coding RNA (NTAB_LNC007094)
Source: RNAcentral